This 301-nucleotide ribosomal RNA is filed under the name uncultured bacterium. RNAcentral describes it as "partial 16S ribosomal RNA". It matches the Rfam family "Bacterial small subunit ribosomal RNA", at positions 509 to 807 of the family's 1533-position model. The record is from RNAcentral.
CAGCAGCCACGGGAAUACGUAGGUGGCAAGCGUUGUCCGGAUUUAUUGGGCGUAAAGCGAGCGCAGGCGGUUCCUUAAGCCUGAUGUGAAAGCCCACGGCUCAACCGUGGAAGGUCAUUGGAAACUGGGGAACUUGAGUGCAGAAGAGGAGAGUGGAAUUCCGCGUGUAGCGGUGAAAUGCGUAGAGAUGUGGAGGAACACCAGUGGCGAAGGCGACUCUCUGGUCUGUAACUGACGCUGAGGAGCGAAAGCGUGGGGAGCGAACAGGAUUAGAUACCCCUGUAGUCCCUGUCUCUUAUAC